RNAcentral lists this ribosomal RNA (520 nucleotides) under uncultured Glomus. Its description in RNAcentral is "SSU rRNA". It matches the Rfam family "Eukaryotic small subunit ribosomal RNA", at positions 569 to 1090 of the family's 1831-position model. Lineage: Eukaryota; Fungi; Glomeromycota; Glomeromycetes; Glomerales; Glomeraceae. The record is from RNAcentral.
AGCAGCCGCGGUAAUUCCAGCUCCAAUAGCGUAUAUUAAAGUUGUUGCAGUUAAAAAGCUCGUAGUUGAAUUUCGGGAUUAGUAGGUUGGUCGUGCCUCUGGUAUGUACUCGCCUUACUGAUUCCUCCUUCUUGAAGAACUGUAAUGCCAUUAAUUUGGUGUUGCAGGGAAACAGGACUGUUACUUUGAAAAAAAUUAGAGUGUUUAAAGCAGGCCAUUGCCUGAAUACAUUAACAUGGAAUAAUGAAAUAGGACGUUGAUCCUAUUUUGUUGGUUUCUAGGAUUGACGUAAUGAUUAAUAGGGAUAGUUGGGGGGCAUUAGUAUUCAAUUGUCAGAGGUGAAAUCCUUGGAUUUAUUGAAGACUAACUACUGCGAAAGCAUUUGCCAAGGAUGUUUUCAUUAAUCAAGAACGAAAGUUAGGGGAUCGAAGACGAUCAGAUACCGUCGUAGUCUUAACCAUAAACUAUGCCGACUAGGGAUCGGAUGAUGUUAAUUUUUAAUGACUCAUUCGGCGCCUUA